Molecule: long non-coding RNA, 304 nt
Filed under: Androctonus crassicauda
Lineage: Eukaryota; Metazoa; Arthropoda; Arachnida; Scorpiones; Buthidae
Source: RNAcentral
GAGUGUAUGUGGUACGAGGGUGAUACAAAAAUGUUAUAUAAUCAAGGACUAAUAUUACUUCGUAUCGUUUUGAUGAAUUUAACCUUUAUUAAAAAUGACGUACAGUUAUGUAAAGGAGAUGAUGGUAUAAAGGUUUGCCGGUUGAUGGAGCUAUUGUUGUUUUGUGUAGUAACAUCGUCUUGUGGAUUGUUGGUGGUUGUCCUUGUGGAUGUUUGUACUUCGUCCUUUUGAGAAGCUCCAAGUGACUGUUGUGUACGUCCGGUGGUGUCUUUGUGAUGAACGUUGUUGCUGUUAUCGUCGAUCU